UACGUAGGGUGCGAGCGUUAAUCGGAAUUACUGGGCGUAAAGCGUGCGCAGGCGGUUUUGUAAGUCAGAUGUGAAAUCCCCGGGCUCAACCUGGGAACUGCGUUUGAAACUACAAGGCUAGAGUAUGGCAGAGGGGGGUAGAAUUCCACGUGUAGCAGUGAAAUGCGUAGAGAUGUGGAGGAAUACCAAUGGCGAAGGCAGCCCCCUGGGUCAAUACUGACGCUCAUGCACGAAAGCGUGGGGAGCAAACAGG
Molecule: ribosomal RNA, 253 nt
Filed under: uncultured bacterium
Lineage: Bacteria
Also listed under: 1 other name
Description: partial 16S ribosomal RNA
Rfam family: Bacterial small subunit ribosomal RNA
Source: RNAcentral